AUGUAAAAUUGUCUGUUUAAAUGUAAGCUCUGAAACUUGAGCCAAAUCCUGACUAUGUACAGUCAAACAAACACAUGUACACAAUUCAACAAAAAUAAAUAAGAUUGUACAUUUAGAGUAAUGCACAACUGCUUCUAAUAAGGUCACACCUUGAGCAAAUAAGCUGAAUUUGACACAUUGCUGUUUCUAUAAGCACAAACAAGUACGGUACAUUUUUUUCACAUCUGGGAAAUUUCCUUUCUGCAGGACCUUGUUAGGUUAUGGUAUGUGUGGAAUGACCACAACCUAAGUGGAUUCAGUGUAUUAAAAAAAAAAAGCCACAGUGAAGAUCUGUCUGAGCCGUGUACAUCGGGUCAGGUGACAUGAAAACUAACAAUUAGGAAACAGUAUACUGUUUCUACUUUUCAGUACUAUGAUGAGUGAAGUGGGUGAAUUCUUUAUAUUUUAUUAUAUUUCCCAGCAAAACUGACCUAAAUUAUAAUCAGUUUUUCCAAAUGUUUCCCAUAUUGUAAAUUAAUGUCUUCUCUCUUUAAAUCUGGAUGACUUUCACUUACUUUGUUCAUGUAAAACAAAAGUAAUCCCAAAAACCAAAUGAAUUGUCAUGGUGCCUCUGUCAGGUUCCUUCCCCCUCCCCUCUCUGCUUGGCCUCUGAUUCAUCCCAGCUGCGUCCACUCAUCUCAUCACCUCACCGACCUACUUAAGGAGCCUCAAGACCAGGAUUCAUCGCCAGAUCGUUACCCCUGAUGGACCUUCAUGCCCACGAGUGGACACCUCGAAUCAAGAGACAACCGAGCAGAACAUCACCAGAAGCCACCUACCUAGUCACGGAGUCUCAGUCACGUCCAGAGCCAUAGCCGAACCUCCAGCCAAGCCAAAGAGCCACAGCCGAGCCGAAGCCACGCCAAGAGCCACAGCCGAGCCGAAGCCACGCCAAGAGCCACAGCCGAGCCGAAACCACGUCGGGGGCCGCAGCCGCACUUCCACGUCUCGCUUCGGAACUUCGACGUCCCUCCAGCUUCGCCGCCCUCCUGCCACAGCAUACUAUGUCACCUUUCUGGAACUAUUAAACUUACUUACUUACUUCCA
Non-coding RNA from Oryzias latipes (Japanese medaka), 1086 nucleotides. The record is from RefSeq and is a predicted model, not a curated record. Lineage: Eukaryota; Metazoa; Chordata; Actinopteri; Beloniformes; Adrianichthyidae.